UGUGAUUUAGGCGAAGGUGAAAUCGCUUUCAUCCCUUGUGGGGGAACGCAUGCGAGCCAUUUGAAUGACUUUGGUUCCAUCCAAGUAACACUG
RNAcentral lists this transfer RNA (93 nucleotides) under Vibrio harveyi. Its description in RNAcentral is "tRNA-His(gtg)". Lineage: Bacteria; Pseudomonadati; Pseudomonadota; Gammaproteobacteria; Vibrionales; Vibrionaceae. The record is from RNAcentral.